This 449-nucleotide unclassified non-coding RNA is filed under the name Hevea brasiliensis (rubber tree). The record is from RNAcentral. Lineage: Eukaryota; Viridiplantae; Streptophyta; Magnoliopsida; Malpighiales; Euphorbiaceae.
GUUCAAUAUCAAUGGCGUCCCAGGAAGAAGAGUUGACGCUAAAGCUGGAGUUAGCGUGCUCGGAUUUGAAAACCGUCCUUCAAACCUCGACCAAGAUGGAGGAUAGCCUGGAAAAGAUGGAUAAAAGGUUCGCUCUUAUAGAUGAAACUCUGUCAACAACCUCCAAAAGAGUAGCUCCUUUGCAAUCUUUGUCCAUGGCCUCAAAAGCCCUCGAAACAAGAAUCAACAGAGCGGUCUCUCCUGCUCUUGCUCUUCUCGAUUGCUUCAAACUCUCCGAGUCUCUCCAGCGCAAGAUCCUCGAAGUUUCCUCCAAAUUAUCCGCAGAGGAAAAGCCAAAGAAACGGCUCAAACUCUUGCUUAGGUACGUUGAUUGUGUGGAUAAGUUAAACGCGGCUAUAAACGCAAUUAGUCAAGAUGGUGAACCAGUGAUUCAGAAGCUACAGGAGGUG